Parelaphostrongylus tenuis is the source of this 75-nucleotide non-coding RNA. Lineage: Eukaryota; Metazoa; Nematoda; Chromadorea; Rhabditida; Metastrongylidae. The record is from the annotation of a GenBank genome assembly.
GCGUCGGAGGUGCAACGGGUUAGAGCACGCGCUCCCGGAUUGAGUGAGACGUGAGUUCAAGCCCCGCCUGAUGCA